CUAAUUGAGUGUUCGUCUACUGUAGCUUAGGAACAGUAAUGGCUUAGUAACAGUACCAGCUCGAGCCGAGCCGGUAUAGGAAAAGACGCUUUUACCCCUCUUUCCUCUUAUUUUACAACGCUGCUGCCGCUCACCUGGGUAUAAGAACCUAUCGAUCAGCCGCAGUCGGUUUUUUCUCUUUCCGCUCUCUCCUCCCCCUUCAGAAAGUGAUAGCCACGGAUUGCGAGAGAGAGAAAGAGGUUUUCUGUGUCUUUUGAGUCUUCUCACUAUUCUGCGAAAUAGAGAACGAGGGAGUGAAGGCUGAUCCGAAGAAGAGGAAGAACAGGGAACGGGAAGAGGAAGAAGAAUUUGAUACACCAAGUUGUGGUCUAUCCAAAUUCAUGGACUGCAAUUUACGUACCUUUGGACAAUGUGGGAAUGUGGAAUGUGAGAUAUGAGAAUUGGGCCCGACAGUACUUAGGCCAGCAGUUCUAUCUUCGUGUAUACUUCUGUAUAAUCACAUUUCACCUAUUUAAUUCUAAGAUUCUAAGCACACCAAGCAGCUUUUGACAGAAGAUGAAACUUCAGCAUUCUCAAGUCUCCAAUCACUCUAAGCAUCAUUUACUAAACACCCAGCCACACAUCUCCGUAUAUUUGCUUUAUCGCAAGAUUGCAAUUACAGUUGGACUUAGAACUUUUGUGGCAAAAUAUAAGCACUUAAUUGAUUCAGUAGCAUGUGUUUUUGAUUAAUGUUGACACUAUUUUUGGAAGUUGGUUGACUACUCAGCAUUUAAUGACCAUGGUUUCUACUGCCUUUGGCAGAAUCAGAAAAUGGGACAGUGCCUUGGUUAUAUCUAGGCUGACCAGUUUACUGUUGCAAUCAGAGAAACUUUUGGGAAUUUGAUGAUGUGCUUGAACCUGGUUGUCAUUGUUUGUCUUGGUGUUUGGGUAGCGCAGUAGCUGAUCAUCUCUUUCUACGAGUGCAGCAAUUGGAUGUUCGCUGAAACAAAGACAAAGGUUCAUGUGCUUCCGUCCAUUUGGGAUCUUUACUUGGGUUUUUUUCUCAGUUGUAUUUUUUGACUUUGAGUGAAUGAUGUUCCAAGCAAAAGCGGAGACAAGAAAAAAACAACCCCGCAGCAACGCGCGGGAAUGACAACUAGUAAUGUACUGAAUUAA
Rosa rugosa (rugosa rose) is the source of this 1155-nucleotide long non-coding RNA. RefSeq lists it as uncharacterized. The transcript is spliced from 3 exons. The record is from RefSeq and is a predicted model, not a curated record. NCBI's taxonomy places the organism in Eukaryota, Viridiplantae, Streptophyta, Magnoliopsida, Rosales, Rosaceae.